This 496-nucleotide ribosomal RNA is filed under the name uncultured bacterium. RNAcentral describes it as "partial 16S ribosomal RNA". It matches the Rfam family "Bacterial small subunit ribosomal RNA", at positions 28 to 506 of the family's 1533-position model. The record is from RNAcentral.
GAUGAACGCUGGCGGCGUGCCUAAUACAUGCAAGUCGAGCGAACAGACGAGGAGCUUGCUCCUCUGACGUUAGCGGCGGACGGGUGAGUAACACGUGGAUAACCUACCUAUAAGACUGGGAUAACUUCGGGAAACCGGAGCUAAUACCGGAUAAUAUAUUGAACCGCAUGGUUCAAUAGUGAAAGACGGUUUUGCUGUCACUUAUAGCUGGAUCCGCGCCGCAUUAGCUAGUUGGUAAGGUAACGGCUUACCAAGGCAACGAUGCGUAGCCGACCUGAGAGGGUGAUCGGCCACACGGGAACUGAGACACGGUCCAGACUCCUACGGGAGGCAGCAGUAGGAAAUCUUCCGCAAUGGGCGAAAGCUUGACGGAGCAACGCCGCGUGAGUGAUGAAGGUCUUCGGAUCGUAAAACUCUGUUAUUAGGGAAGAACAAAUGUGUAAGUAACUAUGCACGUCUGGACGGUACCUAAGCAGAAAGCCACGGCUAACUACGG